GUUCCUGUUGGAGGAAGACAAAAAGGAAAACUGGAUUUAGUCGGUUGUAAUAUCAUACACCACACGUCCUCAACUAGUCUAAAUGAUGUCGUCCUAUUGGAAUCUAAGAAUCGUCCGCAAUACACACUGUGGGAAUAAUCAAGAGUGAUUCAAGCGAAACGAACCCAUCUCGUUUGUCUCGACUGAAAAAAAAGCCUUUAAUAAUAAAUGAAUUUCGUUUCAGGCUGUCAUUUUGUAAGAGGAAAAUGGUUCCGAUUCCAUUUUCCGCCACGAUGAAGACAGGAAACUCUUUUUUCCUCAUACAGAACGAAAGAAGGAAGGCCAACCUAACUUACGAAUGUAUGGACAGACAGAUGCUAUCUUCACAACUAGGAAUACACAAGGGUCUCUCGUCAAACAGCGACACCUUUUGUUUGUGCUGUAAGAAUGUCAAGGUUUGUUGUUUUUCUUUCAUGUCAUUAAGUAGACGGAAAGAACGAAGAGGGAAGGCACAAAUCCCCCUCUGGGUCGCAUCACCUUAUAAUGCGCAAAAGAAUGCAAUUAUGGCCGACAUCCAAGGUCGGAAACUGGUUCCUUCUUCCCAUAUUUCGUAUGCUUGGUAAUUUAUAGUUAUCGAUCUUUUUUUUGUCGGAAUUGAUGUAUCAUUGUACUGGAACUGCCAUUUAUGGUUUCACCCAUAAACAAAUCAAAUAAAAACCCUAGUGGGGUAGCGUCUACGCCGAAUAACAGUCCAACUAGUCUGUUAUAUCGCGGAGCCAGUUUUGCAGCUAAAUGUCGACACGUCUUUCAGAAUUCUUGGUGUACGUGGAACAAGACACGGUGAAAAAUUCAUGAAAUAUUUUCAUCUGUCUUAAUGAUUAUUAAUUUUAUAAGAUAGCAGCAUGACAGCGAUUUUCUCGGGCAAAUGUUUGGAUAGCGACAGCAGUCGGCCAUUGUCCUUGACCAGUUUUGGUUGUGUUCCUCCCUCUUAUUCUUUAAUUACACAUUUGGGAAAACAUUUCGUACGUCCGGAACGCGGAGAACGCAAGAAAACUACUCUCAAAACAUUCGUCCUUCGGUAUUUUUAUGAGCAAAUCACUCUUCGUAAAACAAGGAGGAGUGUAAAGGGAAGGAAAACGUUUUCAGGACGACAGGACAUGGGACUAAUAUGGCCGUCUUGGUCGCGCGGAAGUGUCACGUAACCUUCGUCUGACGGCCGGGUGUCAAGUUUCAUCGUGACCUGAAUAUUCUUUAUGGGAAUGUUUCGAGAAAAAAACAAGAAUGAAAGCAACAAGAGAAAUGCGGUAAUGAGCAGGGAAACCAAGCCCAACGUUAGCAGACGACGUUACAGAAAAUCUAUAAUUAGUAUCCGGUUCAGCGAGAGCACGAGGUUCGACGAACGUGAAAGAUGAAUAAAUCCCUAAAUAUUCUACAGAAAAUAUAUACAAUUUCACUCACCAAACAAAAAAAAAAAAUUUCAAAAUAUGCAGCUGAAUAAACACACACACACACAGGCGCCAAGGUCUGCUGCUGGUGCCUGUGGCUUUUUCCCGAAAAGAGAAAAUGUCUGAAAUACGAGAUACUUGGAGAGUUCAUGGAGUGUGUGCAUCGAUUAAGAUUAGUAGAAGUAGAAAAGAAGAAGAAAAAAAUAAGUUUUUUGGACAGCCGCCAACGGUCUAGUUUCACUCCACGAGACGUUGCCGGCCAAGAAAGUUCCGAAUGCCGGCUAUUUUAACCAUGGCCACAAGUUACGUGUCUUACCACUACUACUGCUAGAACGUACUUCUUGGAUGCUUGUCACGUGAUAACGCAUCUAAAGCUCAGUCUUUUACGCGCUACAUGAUUCACGCUUCUCACUGCAAUAGAGGGGGGAAGAAAAAGGGAUAUAAGCACAAGCGAGGCGUGGUCGUCGCCAGCGGUAGCGAUCAAUAGAAUCGACCCUCGUAUGCGUGCAGUGUGCGCUCGUGGACGAGAACACAUUUACGUGUAACGUGCUGCAGAGACACAAGUCAACCCACGACUGCUUAUACUGUCAACCCGAAGAAAAUAUAAUUGAAUGUCACAAAUGAAAAGACACGUACCGAAAAGGAAUCCUUCGACGUUACUCCACCAAUAAG
Molecule: long non-coding RNA, 2096 nt
Organism: Daphnia carinata
Lineage: Eukaryota; Metazoa; Arthropoda; Branchiopoda; Diplostraca; Daphniidae
Exons: 9
Source: RefSeq, a predicted model, not a curated record